UUAAACCUCUUCCAGAGUAUCAAUUGGAGGGCAAGUCUGGUGCCAGCAGCCGCGGUAAUUCCAGCUCCAAUAGCGUAUAUUAAAAUUGUUGCAGUUAAAAAGCUCGUAGUUGAAUUUCUGCUGCAUUACAUAUCUCUUGUUUGAGUUUGUUUUUGUGGCUUAUUUCGGUUUGAUUUUUUCUUUCCGGAUGAUUACUUUGAGAAAAUUAGAGUGCUCAAAGCAGGCUUUUGCCUUGAAUAGUUUAGCAUGGAAUAAUAAAGUAGGACUUUGGUUCUAUUUUGUUGGUUUUAGGUACCAAAGUAAUGGUUAAUAGGAACAGUUGGGGGCAUUCGUAU
This 335-nucleotide ribosomal RNA is filed under the name uncultured Theileria sp. RNAcentral's name for it is "SSU rRNA". It matches the Rfam family "Eukaryotic small subunit ribosomal RNA", at positions 525 to 897 of the family's 1831-position model. Lineage: Eukaryota; Apicomplexa; Aconoidasida; Piroplasmida; Theileriidae. The record is from RNAcentral.